UACGGAGGGUGCAAGCGUUAUCCGGAUUCACUGGGUUUAAAGGGAGCGUAGGUGGGCUGGUAAGUCAGUGGUGAAAUCCCCGAGCUUAACUUGGGAACUGCCAUUGAUACUAUCAGUCUUGAAUAAUGUGGAGGUUAGCGGAAUAUGUCAUGUAGCGGUGAAAUGCUUAGAUAUGACAUAGAAAAACAAUUGAGAAGGCAGCUGGCUACACAAUUAUUGAAAAUGAGGAUAGAAAGAGUGGGGAUAAAAAAGG
This 253-nucleotide ribosomal RNA is filed under the name uncultured bacterium. Its description in RNAcentral is "partial 16S ribosomal RNA". It matches the Rfam family "Bacterial small subunit ribosomal RNA", at positions 524 to 776 of the family's 1533-position model. The record is from RNAcentral.